UGGGGAAUAUUGCACAAUGGGCGCAAGCCUGAUGCAGCCAUGCCGCGUGUAUGAAGAAGGCCUUCGGGUUGUAAAGUACUUUCAGCGGGGAGGAAGGGAGUAAAGUUAAUACCUUUGCUCAUUGACGUUACCCGCAGAAGAAGCACCGGCUAACUCCGUGCCAGCAGCCGCGGUAAUACGGAGGGUGCAAGCGUUAAUCGGAAUUACUGGGCGUAAAGCGCACGCAGGCGGUUUGUUAAGUCAGAUGUGAAAUCCCCGGGCUCAACCUGGGAACUGCAUCUGCUACUGGCAAGCUUGAGUCUCGUAGAGAGGGGUAGAAUUCCAGGAGUAGCGGUGAAAUGCGUAGAGAUCUGGAGGAAUACCGGUGGCGAAGGCGGCCCCCUGGACGAAGACUGACGCUCAGGUGCGAAAGCGUGGGGAGCAAACAGG
RNAcentral lists this ribosomal RNA (429 nucleotides) under Chloroflexota bacterium. Its description in RNAcentral is "Chloroflexi bacterium partial 16S ribosomal RNA". It matches the Rfam family "Bacterial small subunit ribosomal RNA", at positions 355 to 776 of the family's 1533-position model. The record is from RNAcentral. Lineage: Bacteria; Bacillati; Chloroflexota.